Non-coding RNA from Schistosoma rodhaini, 45 nucleotides. The record is from Rfam. Lineage: Eukaryota; Metazoa; Platyhelminthes; Trematoda; Strigeidida; Schistosomatidae.
AUCCAGAUGACGAGUCCCGAAUAGGAUGAAACACGCAUCGUGGAU